RNAcentral lists this small RNA (393 nucleotides) under Pan troglodytes (chimpanzee). RNAcentral's name for it is "retained intron". The record is from RNAcentral. Lineage: Eukaryota; Metazoa; Chordata; Mammalia; Primates; Hominidae.
AGGCGCAGCGAGCCUAGCCUCCCCGCGCCCUGGGCAAGUGUGGCCAUGGAGAAUCAGGUGUUGACGCCGCAUGUCUACUGGGCUCAGCGACACCGCGAGCUAUAUCUGCGCGUGGAGCUGAGUGACGUACAGAACCCUGCCAUCAGCAUCACUGAAAACGUGCUGCAUUUCAAAGGUCAGUAUCCCAGCAAAUGCUCCCAUCUCUAUACACAGUUAAGGAGGUGUGGUGGUGGUUUCCCUUUUUUUAAAAAAAUGUAUGUCUUACUUGUUUUUUGCUGAUGUUCACGCCUCUGAUCCUCAUGAGGUAAGCUAAAUUGUUUUGAAAUAUAUGAUUAGAAAAGUCAAAGAAUUGGUUUAAAAUCCUGUUUCCCCCAUGGAGAGGCAGUAGAUACA